AUUGAACGCUGGCGGCAUGCUUUACACAUGCAAGUCGAACGGUAACAGGCCGCAAGGUGCUGACGAGUGGCGUACGGGUGAGUAAUGCAUCGGAACGUGCCCAGUCGUGGGGGAUAACUACUCGAAAGAGUAGCUAAUACCGCAUACGAUCUAUGGAUGAAAGCGGGGGACCGUAAGGCCUCGCGCGAUUGGAGCGGCCGAUGUCAGAUUAGGUAGUUGGUGGGGUAAAGGCUCACCAAGCCAACGAUCUGUAGCUGGUCUGAGAGGACAACCAGCCACACUGGGACUGAGACACGGCCCAGACUCCUACGGGAGGCAGCAGUGGGGAAUUUUGGACAAUGGGCGCAAGCCUGAUCCAGCAAUGCCGCGUGCAGGAAGAAGGCCUUCGGGUUGUAAACUGCUUUUGUACGGAACGAAACGGCUCUGGUUAAUACCCGGGGCUAAUGACGGUACCGUAAGAAUAAGCACCGGCUAACUACGUG
Molecule: ribosomal RNA, 482 nt
Filed under: uncultured bacterium
Lineage: Bacteria
Description: partial 16S ribosomal RNA
Rfam family: Bacterial small subunit ribosomal RNA
Source: RNAcentral